ACAACACUAAAACAUAUCUGUAGCCUGUUAGAUUGAGGGUUUAUAUGCGCUGUAAACAUUGGGUGUCCUUCGCGAGAGUGAGGUUGUAGGCUACUAUUUGCCUGCGUGCAUGUGAUGUGCAUG
Molecule: long non-coding RNA, 123 nt
Organism: Alosa sapidissima (American shad)
Lineage: Eukaryota; Metazoa; Chordata; Actinopteri; Clupeiformes; Clupeidae
Exons: 3
Source: RefSeq, a predicted model, not a curated record